AUGGCCUUGCACACCUCUGAGCAACUGGUUUGAGCAUAAAAUAAUUGAGCCAGAAAUGGGCUGCCUGAAUAAUCAAAACCUUGAAGGAAUUUAAUCACAUGUCUGCUGUCUUCUGAACAUAGCUUAAUUCUACACAUUCACUGCUUUCUGUAAUAACUGCUUUAUGCAAGUCUCAAAGCUUUCAUUGUUCUGCCUUAAAACUCUAGGUAAUCUGCCUCUUUCCAUACAUAAAAUAUUAUGUCCUCUAUUCCUCAGGUUACCUGGACUCUGUAACCUGUGAUUCUAUGUUACCAAGCUGCAGAUUAUCCUCUCAUACUAAAAUAAGAGGCUGGUGUAUGUCACAUGCUGAACCCUAUGUGCAAGUGUCUGAAUAAAUCUUUUGUCGCCUUAAUUACAGCCUUACAGAGCUCAUGGCCAUCAGACAAAGGCAUAUAUACUUCAGGGAUACAGAUCCAUUCAAGGCUUCUGAUGCAGAAUUUUCAAGAUUAAAGCCCCUGCUUUCCAACUGUUGACACACCAAAGGGGAGUUUUCUAAUCAGCCAGAUAUUAUAAAUCCAAC
RNAcentral lists this long non-coding RNA (559 nucleotides) under Canis lupus familiaris (dog). Its description in RNAcentral is "lncRNA (ENSCAFG00000056298.1)". The record is from RNAcentral. Lineage: Eukaryota; Metazoa; Chordata; Mammalia; Carnivora; Canidae.